This is a long non-coding RNA of Gasterosteus aculeatus aculeatus (three-spined stickleback), 1121 nucleotides long. The record is from Ensembl. NCBI's taxonomy places the organism in Eukaryota, Metazoa, Chordata, Actinopteri, Perciformes, Gasterosteidae.
AAAGUUCAACAAAUAGCAACAGAAAACGCCCACAUCCAACAAAGUAGUAAUACUGUCAAUACUAAUAAUAAUAACGCCAUGGAGUGUUGGAUGUUUGGAUUAAUGGAUGGAUAGAUGUACAAGUAUAUGAUAAAUGGACAGAUAAGGAUAGGUAUAUGAUGGUUGUAUGGAUAGACAGAUAAGUACAGUAUAUGGUGCUUGGAUGGAUAAGUAUAUGAUGGAUGGAUGGGCGGAUAAGUAUAUGAUGAUUGGAUUAAUUGAUGGAUGGGUGGUUAAGUAAAUGUGUAAUGGAUGAGGUACGGACUCAGAUGCAAUACGACAAACAGCAGUUGUAGUUCCAAACAGACUAUUUCAUUAUCCUCAAUGCAAACCAACAGUUUACAGAGACACUAGCAAAAGACGUGGUCGGAAGACUGGGUGAACUACUGGGGCAGGGCGAGACGAGAUAGUCAGGGUCGACAACAGGGAAUCAGUCCAAAAGAAAGUGCUGGAAGGUCUAUCAUAAAUGAGAGGACAAUCUGGCAGUGAGUGACUGGGCUUUAAAUACUGAAGGGAGUGAGUUGGGUAGACAGGUGAAUGUGAUUGGGCUGACGAGGUGAAAUGUGACUAGCAGCUGUACAGAAUGAACUGAUUAGGUGGAGUGAGAUGUGGAAAUGACAGGGAAGGACUGACAGCGCUGUGACAUUAUGAUGGAUGGAUGGAUAGAAUGGUUGUAUAGCUGCAGGGUAGGGUAUAUGAUGGUUGCAUGAAUUGAUGGAUGGAUAAGUAUACAAAGGUUGGAUAGAUGGACGCUUAAGUAUAUGAUGGUUUAAUGGAUGGACGCAUAAGUAUAUGAUGGUUUGAUGGAUUGAUAGAUUUUGGAAAAAUGGAUAGGUAGAUAGAAAGAGGAUUGUGUCUCAUCACCCAGAGGGCCCACAGUUACGUUUUACUGCCUGCAUAGCAGAUCAUGGUCUUCCUCUGGGUUCAGCUGAGGUCUUGUUGAUGGAACCAACCUAGUUGGGUCUUGAUAGGCUCAGCACGAAGCGCAGCGUUUCCAGUGUUACCAGUUCCAGUGCUGUGUGCUUUGGCGUCAACAGGUUAUUGCAUAUUUAUCAUGCUUUGUCUUUUUGGGCUCUGUUACA